AACGAACGCUGGCGGCAUGCCUAACACAUGCAAGUCGAACGAGACCUUCGGGUCUAGUGGCGCACGGGUGCGUAACGCGUGGGAACCUGCCCGUAGGUUCGGAAUAACUCCCCGAAAGGGGUGCUAAUACCGGAUAAUGUCUUCGGACCAAAGAUUUAUCGCCUUUGGAUGGGCCCGCGUUGGUUUAGCUAGUUGGUAGGGUAAAAGCCUACCAAGGCGACGAUCCAGAGCUGGUCUGAGAGGAUGAUCAGCCACACUGGGACUGAGACACGGCCCAGACUGCGACGGGAGGCAGCAGUGGGGAAUAUUGGACAAGGGGCGAAAGCCUGAUCCAGCAAUGCCGCGUGAGUGAUGAAGGCCUUAGGGUUGUAAAGCUCUUUUACCCGGGAUGAUAAUGACAGUACCGGGAGAAUAAGCUCCGGCUAACUCCGUG
RNAcentral lists this ribosomal RNA (433 nucleotides) under uncultured bacterium. RNAcentral's name for it is "partial 16S ribosomal RNA". It matches the Rfam family "Bacterial small subunit ribosomal RNA", at positions 29 to 507 of the family's 1533-position model. The record is from RNAcentral.